AGAGUUUGAUCCUGGCUCAGGAUGAACGCUAGCUACAGGCUUAACACAUGCAAGUCGAGGGGCAGCAUGGUCUUAGCUUGCUAAGGCUGAUGGCGACCGGCGCACGGGUGAGUAACACGUAUCCAACCUGCCGUCUACUCUUGGCCAGCCUUCUGAAAGGAAGAUUAAUCCAGGAUGGCAUCAUGAGUUCACAUGUCCGCAUGAUUAAAGGUAUUUUCCGGUAGACGAUGGGGAUGCGUUCCAUUAGAUAGUAGGCGGGGUAACGGCCCACCUAGUCAACGAUGGAUAGGGGUUCUGAGAGGAAGGUCCCCCACAUUGGAACUGAGACACGGUCCAAACUCCUACGGGAGGCAGCAGUGAGGAAUAUUGGUCAAUGGGCGAUGGCCUGAACCAGCCAAGUAGCGUGAAGGAUGACUGCCCUAUGGGUUGUAAACUUCUUUUAUAAAGGAAUAAAGUCGGGUAUGCAUACCCGUUUGCAUGUACUUUAUGAAUAAGGAUCGGCUAACUCCGUGCCAGCAGCCGCGGUAAUACGGAGGAUCCGAGCGUUAUCCGGAUUUAUUGGGUUUAAAGGGAGCGUAGAUGGAUGUUUAAGUCAGUUGUGAAAGUUUGCGGCUCAACCGUAAAAUUGCAGUUGAUACUGGAUGUCUUGAGUGCAGUUGAGGCAGGCGGAAUUCGUGGUGUAGCGGUGAAAUGCUUAGAUAUCACGAAGAACUCCGAUUGCGAAGGCAGCCUGCUAAGCUGCAACUGACAUUGAGGCUCGAAAGUGUGGGUAUCAAACAGGAUUAGAUACCCUGGUAGUCCACACGGUAAACGAUGAAUACUCGCUGUUUGCGAUAUACGGCAAGCGGCCAAGCGAAAGCGUUA
RNAcentral lists this ribosomal RNA (864 nucleotides) under uncultured bacterium. RNAcentral describes it as "bacterial SSU rRNA". It matches the Rfam family "Bacterial small subunit ribosomal RNA", at positions 8 to 862 of the family's 1533-position model. The record is from RNAcentral.